UGGGGAAUAUUGCGCAAUGGGCGAAAGCCUGACGCAGCGACGCCGCGUGAGGGAUGAAGGUUUUCGGAUCGUAAACCUCUGUCAGAAGGGAAGAAACCGCACUGUGCUAAUCAGCAGUGCCUUGACGGUACCUUCAAAGGAAGCACCGGCUAACUCCGUGCCAGCAGCCGCGGUAAUACGGAGGGUGCAAGCGUUAAUCGGAAUUACUGGGCGUAAAGCGCACGUAGGCUGCUUUGUAAGUCAGGGGUGAAAUCCCACGGCUCAACCGUGGAACUGCCUUUGAUACUGCUUAGCUUGAAUCCGGGAGAGGGUGGCGGAAUUCCAGGUGUAGGAGUGAAAUCCGUAGAUAUCUGGAGGAACAUCAGUGGCGAAGGCGGCCACCUGGACCGGUAUUGACGCUGAGGUGCUAAAGCGUGGGGAGCAAACAGG
This 429-nucleotide ribosomal RNA is filed under the name Fusobacteriota bacterium. RNAcentral's name for it is "Fusobacteria bacterium partial 16S ribosomal RNA". It matches the Rfam family "Bacterial small subunit ribosomal RNA", at positions 355 to 776 of the family's 1533-position model. The record is from RNAcentral. Lineage: Bacteria; Fusobacteriati; Fusobacteriota.